UCAGAAUGAAGAAGAGAAAACAAAUCUAACAGAGACAAGAAAACCGGUUGAAAGGAAUAGACUAAAACAAACAGCUACGAAAACAACUUUCAAUCCGAGAUAAAUGUUUUGUCAACGUAAAACGGAAUUUUUUCACACUGCAGAAAAAAAGUAUUCAACGGAAAGAACAAACGGUAUCUCAGGCAAGAAAUUGAGAAAUUGAGAAAAAGGAUGAGAUGCCGAUAUUCAAACAGUGAUGAAUUUGAAAAAAACAGACACACACACGGACACACAAAGAAAGAUUCAGCAAAGUCAAAAGGCUUUCAACUAUUCUGGAGGAAAGUGUUGUGGUGGUAAGUCGGUAAGUUAGAGGUCGAUGGUAAUAGAAGUUGGUUGAACGAUUACGUUGUUGUUUCGUCCUGUCCUGUCUGGUCCCUGACCUGUUAUGUUGAUGCAGAGAAGAAGAAAAAGGGCGGCUAAAAGCAAAUAACACAAACUAAGAAUAACGAAAUUCGCAACAGCUCGUAAAAGUGUCCGAAAAAGAAAAGACGGAAAAUUCCGGUAUAUAUAGAAAAGGAUUAAUCGGUGGAAAAAAAAUGAAGGAUUGAUGGCUAGAUGGAAUACACAGUGCGUGUGUACGUUUUAAAAAAAACCCAAAAAAAAUUGCAAAAGGAGAAAAGGGAAAGCUAAAUUGUAAACGGGUAAGAAGGAAAGCAAUAUAGCACGCGAUUGACAACCGUUCCAACAAGAAAAAUUUUUCCAAAGAGAAAAAGCCGCGCACUAAUCGUAAUCGAGUUAGCCGUAGGAAAUAAAAAUAAAUAAAUCCCAAAUAAGUAGGUGCUUGGUAAUAUAGAAAAGUGGUUCCCUCUAAUGAUGAAAUAGUGCAAUCAAGGAAGGAAACGUAGAUAUUAAAAUGGAACAAACUUGCACGUGUUUUUGAAGGAAAGGAAGAAUUCUAGUAAUGUCAAGUCACUUAGCUUUGCUGUUGAUACAACACAAGCCGAUUAGCAAAAUAUUGUAGAAGAGAAGCAGAAAGUCGUGAUAAGAGAAAAAGAGAAAAUCGACA
Non-coding RNA from Schizosaccharomyces pombe (fission yeast), 1045 nucleotides. NCBI's taxonomy places the organism in Eukaryota, Fungi, Ascomycota, Schizosaccharomycetes, Schizosaccharomycetales, Schizosaccharomycetaceae. The record is from the annotation of a GenBank genome assembly.